RNAcentral lists this ribosomal RNA (478 nucleotides) under uncultured bacterium. Its description in RNAcentral is "partial 16S ribosomal RNA". It matches the Rfam family "Bacterial small subunit ribosomal RNA", at positions 28 to 507 of the family's 1533-position model. The record is from RNAcentral.
GAUGAACGCUGGCGGCGUGCUUAACACAUGCAAGUCGAACGAAGCACUUAAGAUUGAUUCUUCGGAUGACGUCUUUUGUGACUUAGUGGCGGACGGGUGAGUAACGCGUGGGUAACCUGCCUCACACAGGGGGAUAACAGUUAGAAAUGACUGCUAAUACCGCAUAACCCGAUAGGAUCGCAUGAUCCAGACGGAAAAGAUUUAUCGGUGUGAGAUGGACCCGCGUCUGAUUAGCUAGUUGGUGAGGUAACGGCCCACCAAGGCGACGAUCAGUAGCCGGCUGGGGAGGGGGAACGCCAACUUUGGGACGAGGAAACGGCCCAAACCCCUGCGGGAGGCAGCAGGGGGAAUUAUGGCACAUGGGGGAAACCCUGAUGCAGCGACGCCGCGUGAGUGAAGAAGUAUUUCGGUAUGUAAAGCUCUAUCAGCAGGGAAGAAAAUGACGGUACCUGACUAAGAAGCCCCGGCUAACUACGUG